This 73-nucleotide small nuclear RNA is filed under the name Cervus elaphus hippelaphus. Lineage: Eukaryota; Metazoa; Chordata; Mammalia; Artiodactyla; Cervidae. RNAcentral also lists the same sequence under 1 other name. The record is from RNAcentral.
GUGCUUGCUUCAGCAGCACAUAUAAUAAAAUUGGAACGUCACAAAGAAGAUUAGCAUGGCCCCUGCACAAGGA